Molecule: ribosomal RNA, 232 nt
Filed under: uncultured bacterium
Lineage: Bacteria
Description: partial 16S ribosomal RNA
Rfam family: Bacterial small subunit ribosomal RNA
Source: RNAcentral
UGAGCAAUCUGCCCUUCUCUUCGGAAUAAGCGUUGGAAACGACGUCUAAUGCCGAAUACGACCUCCUUUCGCAUGAUCGGAGGUGGAAAGCUCCGGCGGAGAAGGAUGAGCUCGCGGCCUAUCAGCUAGUUGGUGUGGGUAAUGGCCCACCAAGGCGACGACGGGUAGCCGGCCUGAGAGGGUGACCGGCCACACUGGGACUGAGACACGGCCCAGACUCCUACGGGAGNAG